CGUUAGGUUACAGUAAAGGGCACAAGGUGGAUGCCUUGGCACAUGAAGGCGAAAAAGGACGUAAGUGAACGAAAACUAGGGUAAGCUCACAAAAAGCAUUGACCCCUAGGUCUCCGAAUGGGGCAACCCGGUUGUGGAAGACACAAUCAUUACUAAGUGAAUACAUAGCUUAGUAAGGCGAUACCCUGCGAACUGAAACAUCUAAGUAGCAGGAGGAAAAGAAAGAAACAUCGAUUUUCUAAGUAGCGGCGAGCGAACGGAAAAGAGCCUAACUCAUAAGCGAUUUAAUAAUGUUAGUCAAAUUAUCUGAAAAGAUAAACCAAAGAAAGUGAAAGUCUUGUAGACGAAAACAUUAAUAAACGAGAGGGAAAGUAUCACCGGGCACGAGUAACCCGGUGUGAAGAUAGGGGGCCCAUCCCCUAAGGCUAAAUACUAACAUGUGACCGAUAGUGAACAAGUACCGUGAGGGAAAGGUGAAAAGAACCCCGAAAGGGGAGUGAAAUAGAACCUGAAACCUAGUGCCUACAAGCAGACAGAGCGUGAGCGAACGUGAUGUCGUACCUUUUGUAGAAUGGGCCAGCGAGUUAUUCUAAAUUGCAAGGUUAAUGAUUUAAGAUCAGAAGCCGUAGCGAAAGCGAGUCUUAAUAGGGCGAAAGUAAGUUAGAAUAGACCCGAAACCGGGUGAUCUAUCCAUGGUCAGAGUGAAGUUGAAGUAAAAUUCAAUGGAGGCUCGAACCGGGUGCGGUUUAAAACGCAUCGGAUGAACUGUGGAUAGGGGCGAAAAACCAAACGAACCCGGAGAUAGCUGGUUCUCCUCGAAAUAGCUUUAGGGCUAGCCUCUGACCUAAGAUUUUAGGAGGUAGAGCACUGAAUGGUCUAGGGCGGAUUACCGUACCAAAACCUAUCAAACUCCGAAUGCCAAAAAAUCAAGUCAGGGAGUCAGACUUAGGGGGAUAAGCUUCUAAGUCGAAAGGGAAACAGCCCAGACCGACAGCUAAGGUCCCAAAAUUUGAAUUAAGUGGAAAAGGAUGUGAAUCUACUAAGACAACCAGGACGUUGGCUUAGAAGCAGCCAUGCAUUUAAAGAAUGCGUAAUAGCUCACUGGUCAAGUGGGUUUGCGCCGAAAAUGAACGGGGCUCAAAUUCAAUACCGAAGCUUCGGAUUAAUAGAGGGAUUAAGUUUACAAAUGAGACUAGGAAAUAUUUAACAAAAACAGAAGAGAUUAAAAAGAAAAACAAAUUUCAGACGCAGACAUAAAAGAUAGGAUAUUAAAAAGAAAUAUUCAAAAAACACAAGUCUAAAGUCAAAAGUGAGUAACAUAAGAAAUUAUGAACUAACAAUCACUGGUUAAGAGUUAAAAACUAGGACUCAUAGCUAAACUUAAUACCUCUAUUAGUGGUAGAGGAGCAUUGUAUUAGAGACGAAGCCAAGGCGAAAGCAAAAGUGGAUCUAAUACAAGAGAGAAUGCUGGCAUGAGUAGCGAGAAGGGAUGUGAGAAUCAUCCCCGUCGAAACCCUAAGGACUCCUGAGCAAGGCUCGUCCCCUCAGGGAAAGUCGGGACCUAAGCCAAGGCCGAAAGGCGUAGGCGAUGGAUAACAGGUUUAUAUUCCUGUACCGCUUGAAGUCGUUAAGAGAGAAGUGAUGACGCAAAAGGAUAAGCAAAGCCAUCAGAUGGAAAAGAUGGUCUAAAGCCGUAGGAAGAAAAGUAGGCAAAUCCGCUUUUCACAAAUUCUAAAAGCCGAUAGGUAUCGAAAACAUAAGUAGAGAAGUUGCCGAUUCCAGGUUGCCAAGAAAAGUCACUAUCCAGACCAAAGCGCCCGUACCAAAACCGACACAGGUAGGGAGGUAGAGAAUACCAAGACGCGCGGAAGAACCUUUGUUAAGGAACUCGGCAAAAUGUCCCCGUAACUUCGGGAGAAGGGGAGCCUGAGCAAUCAGGCCACAGAAAAGCCCCAGUAAACGGCGGCCGUAACUAUAACGGUCCUAAGGUAGCGAAAUUCCUUGUCGGGUAAGUUCCGACCCGCACGAAAGGUGUAACGAUUUGGGCACUGUCUCAACAAAGGAUCCGGUGAAAUUGUAGUAGUCGUGAAGAUGCGACUUACCCACGCUAGGACGGAAAGACCCCGUGGAGCUUUACUGUAGGCUGAUAUUGGAUUUUGAGAUUAAAUGUACAGGAUAGUUGGGAGACUGAGAUAUCUGGAUGCCAAUCUAGGAGGAGUCACUGGUGGGAUACCAACCUUUUAAUAUCAAAGUUCUAACCAUAGCCCUUGAAUCAGGGCAUGGGACAUUGUCAGUUGGGCAGUUUGACUGGGGCGGUCGCCUCCUAAAAAGUAACGGAGGCGUUCAAAGGUUCGCUCAGAAUGGACGGAAACCAUUCGCAGAGUAUAAAGGCAGAAGCGAGCUUAACUGCGAGAGCUACAACUCAAGCAGAGUCGAAAGACGGACUUAGUGAUCCGGUGGUACCGCAUGGAAGGGCCAUCGCUCAACGGAUAAAAGCUACCCCGGGGAUAACAGGCUUAUCUCCCCCAAGAGUCCACAUCGACGGGGAGGUUUGGCACCUCGAUGU
RNAcentral lists this ribosomal RNA (2566 nucleotides) under Veillonella parvula. Its description in RNAcentral is "partial 23S ribosomal RNA". It matches the Rfam family "Bacterial large subunit ribosomal RNA", at positions 1 to 2532 of the family's 2925-position model. The record is from RNAcentral. Lineage: Bacteria; Bacillati; Bacillota; Negativicutes; Veillonellales; Veillonellaceae.